CUGCAACUGAUCAGUCCCAAAUAGGACGAAACGGGCGUCCUGGAU
This is a non-coding RNA of Schistosoma mansoni, 45 nucleotides long. The record is from Rfam. Lineage: Eukaryota; Metazoa; Platyhelminthes; Trematoda; Strigeidida; Schistosomatidae.